UGCGCAGGCGGAGCGAUAAGUCAGUGGUGAAAUCCUGCAGCUUAACUGCAGAACUGCCAUUGAUACUGUCGUUCUUGAGUAUAGUUGAAGUGGGCGGAAUGUGUCAUGUAGCGGUGAAAUGCUUAGAUAUGACACAGAACACCGAUCGCGAAGGCAGCUCGCUAAACUAUAACUGACGCUCAUGCACGAAAGCGUGGGGAUCAAACAGGAUUAGAUACCCUGGUAGUCCACGCCGUAAACGAUGAUUACUCGAUGUUGGCGAUAUACAGUCAGCGUCUAAGCGAAAGCAUUAAGUAAUCCACCUGGGGAGUACGUUCGCAAGGAUGAA
RNAcentral lists this ribosomal RNA (328 nucleotides) under uncultured bacterium. Its description in RNAcentral is "bacterial SSU rRNA". It matches the Rfam family "Bacterial small subunit ribosomal RNA", at positions 568 to 898 of the family's 1533-position model. The record is from RNAcentral.